This 253-nucleotide ribosomal RNA is filed under the name uncultured bacterium. RNAcentral describes it as "partial 16S ribosomal RNA". It matches the Rfam family "Bacterial small subunit ribosomal RNA", at positions 524 to 776 of the family's 1533-position model. The record is from RNAcentral.
UACGAAGGGGGCUAGCGUUGCUCGGAAUCACUGGGCGUAAAGCGCACGUAGGCGGAUUGCUAAGUCAGGGGUGAAAUCCUGGAGCUCAACUCCAGAACUGCCCUUGAUACUGGCGGUCUCGAGUCCGGGAGAGGUGAGUGGAACUGCGAGUGUAGAGGUGAAAUUCGUAGAUAUUCGCAAGAACACCAGUGGCGAGGGCGGCUCACUGGCCCGGUACUGACGCUGAGGUGCGAAAGCGUGGGGAGCAAACAGG